RNAcentral lists this ribosomal RNA (472 nucleotides) under uncultured organism. Its description in RNAcentral is "partial 16S ribosomal RNA". It matches the Rfam family "Bacterial small subunit ribosomal RNA", at positions 334 to 797 of the family's 1533-position model. The record is from RNAcentral.
CACUCCUGCGGGAGGCAGCAGUGGGGAAUAUUGCACAAUGGGCGCAAGCCUGAUGCAGCCAUGCCGCGUGUAUGAAGAAGGCCUUCGGGUUGUAAAGUACUUUCAGCGGGGAGGAAGGCAAUACGGUUAAUAACCGUGUUGAUUGACGUUACCCGCAGAAGAAGCACCGGCUAACUCCGUGCCAGCAGCCGCGGUAAUACGGAGGGUGCAAGCGUUAAUCGGAAUUACUGGGCGUAAAGCGCACGCAGGCGGUCUGUCAAGUCGGAUGUGAAAUCCCCGGGCUCAACCUGGGAACUGCAUUCGAAACUGGCAGGCUUGAGUCUUGUAGAGGGGGGUAGAAUUCCAGGUGUAGCGGUGAAAUGCGUAGAGAUCUGGAGGAAUACCGGUGGCGAAGGCGGCCCCCUGGACAAAGACUGACGCUCAGGUGCGAAAGCGUGGGGAGCAAACAGGAUUAGAAACCCCGGUAGUCCCA